Long non-coding RNA from Dalotia coriaria, 882 nucleotides. RefSeq lists it as uncharacterized. The transcript is spliced from 2 exons. The record is from RefSeq and is a predicted model, not a curated record. Lineage: Eukaryota; Metazoa; Arthropoda; Insecta; Coleoptera; Staphylinidae.
GACGCGUACGGAAGCAACUUCAUUAUUUUCGAUAUUCGCGAGCGAAGCCAAGGGUUAAAGCUAGUAAAGAAUAAAAAUAUUUAACUUGUCAAAGUUUAAAACAUCAAAUAAACAAAUGUCACGCAUAUCUUGUCAUUGUUAUUGUAAGAUAUUCUCAACUUCUCUCACUUAUCGUUCGUAUCACGCCGAGAACACAACUAGAAUCAAAAGUAAACAAAAUGGCGGCUUACCAUGAACACGUUGACCAUAACAUAAAGGCAAUUACCCAACCGCCGUUUGUGUACCCUUCAAGGGCCCCACAACGCAUGACCACGGUUUUAUCAACACAAAUACCAUCAACAACUGAAAUUUCAACCACAACUCAACCAAUUGAAAUAUUGCAAGCCGUCGCAUCGUCAAAUGAGACAUUCUUCAAUGAAAACUUUACUAAUUUCGAUGAAUACAACACUACAGUCGGUGUAAUCGAACCAGAAGAAUCUAAAGUAACUAAUGUUACAAGAGUAUUCGAUUGGAUGAAGCCUCCAGGUGCAAAUUUAGACAAUAAUAUACUACGAAUGUCUCAUCAGGAUAAAAAUCUGUUGCCUGAUGAUAGAUACCGCGCAGAUUACACAUUAUACAUCAUCCUUGGCUCGAUUCUUGCUGUAUUGAUUAUUCUCACCAUUGUUACAAUUAUGCUAUAUAAAGCAUACAAGUCAAAGGAUCAGUACAGUUUAACUUCAAGAGGAAAUCGCGUGCGGGUUUUCGGAUUUCCUCAUGAAGAAGCCACCACUUCACGCGGAGACGACCAUGAAGUCGUUGAUUUUGAUAAGGAUAGUUAUAGAUUUUAGUUAUACAUUGAUCUAAUCAAUCUUUCUGUUAAUAAUAAACCAUUUUUUGCAUAAA